CUAGCUGUAAACGAUGGAUACUAGGCGUUGAGAGUAUCGACCCUCUCAGUGUCGUAGCUAACGCGUUAAGUAUCCCGCCUGGGGAGUACGCGCGCAAGCGUGAAACUCAAAGGAAUUGACGGGGGCCCGCACAAGCGGUGGAGUAUGUGGUCUAAUUCGAUGCAACGCGAAGAACCUUACCAGGGCUUGACAUGUCCGGAACCCUGCCCAAAGGCGGGGGUGCCUACGGGAACCGGAACACAGGUGGUGC
This 250-nucleotide ribosomal RNA is filed under the name uncultured Chroococcidiopsis sp. RNAcentral describes it as "partial 16S ribosomal RNA". It matches the Rfam family "Bacterial small subunit ribosomal RNA", at positions 796 to 1044 of the family's 1533-position model. The record is from RNAcentral. Lineage: Bacteria; Bacillati; Cyanobacteriota; Cyanophyceae; Chroococcidiopsidales; Chroococcidiopsidaceae.